Molecule: ribosomal RNA, 650 nt
Filed under: Coptotermes elisae
Lineage: Eukaryota; Metazoa; Arthropoda; Insecta; Blattodea; Rhinotermitidae
Description: partial large subunit ribosomal RNA
Rfam family: Archaeal large subunit ribosomal RNA (bases 234-395)
Source: RNAcentral
AUUUUAUUUUUAUAAUUUUUGUGUAUAUUUGGUUUUGUGGAUUUUAUAGUGAUUUUCAAUUUGAUUAUGUUAAAAUUUUAUUUGUUUCUUUUGUUAUUUUGGUUUAUUUAAUUGUUUAUUGGAAUGUUUCCUUUAUUUUUUGUUGGUUUGUAAUUAUUGUGGAAUUAGUAAAUUUGUUUGUUUGUAUUGUUUAUAUUUUUGUAUAAUUUCUUUUGAGGAAUUAGGCAAAUUUUGUGUCCGCCUGUUUAACAAAAACAUCUUUUCUUGUUAGUUUUUGAAGUAUGGCCUGCCCGCUGACAUUGAGUGUUGAAGGGCCGCGGUAUUUUGACCGUGCAAAGGUAGCAUAAUCAUUAGUUCUUUAAUUGUGAUCUGGAAUGAAUGGCUUGACGAGGCACGGGCUGUCUUAGUGUUGAAUGUUUUAUUGAAUUUGGUCUUUGAGUUAAAAUUCUUAAAUGUUUUUGUGGGACGAGAAGACCCUAUAGAGUUUGACAUUUGGUUUAUUUGUUGUUUGGUUGUUUGUUUGUUUUAUUGGUGAGUGGACUUUUUGUUUUGUUGGGGUGAUGAGAGGAAUAUGUUUAACUCCUCUUGGUUUUGGUUAUAUUGAUUUAUAGUUGUUUGAUCCAUUUAUUUUGAUUAUAAGACUAAAUUAC